UGACACUUGUGGCAGCUGACAGUAAGUCGGUUCAACUGGUAGAAGCAAGCAUAGAAAUGCCUCUGCUCAAUCCAACCCUGCGCCCCCAGCUUGGAGUAAGUGGGGGUUGGAUUGCAGCCUAACUUGUGGCCUCCAGAUAUUUCUACACUGCAACUCCCAUCGUUCCCUAACCAGCAAGGCCAAUGGUCAGGUAUGAUGGGAGUUGUAGUCCAACAUUCUAGGAAAUCAGUUUCCCCAAUCCCGAAUUAACAAAUAGUAUGUUUGCAGCCAUGUGAGGAUAAGCAGUUUGUAGACUGCAGCCUAGAUACAUUUAAUUUAACUAAAAUGACAGGGUGGAUAACAGAAAUACUCCAUUAGAAUGUGGAGAGUGGAAGGUGCAUCAUCAGAUGAAAGAGGAGGAGCUGGUUACAAAACAUUUAAAUUCUUAACAACUUUUUAAGUUUUACUGUGUGUAUCACUGUCACUAGGUGCCCUACAAAAACUGACGUAUGAGCCUGUGGUCAAUUUACAAGAGACCAUCAAGAAACUGUUAUGUCAAGAACAAUGAUGGGAUCAACAGAAAGUUAACACUGGAACAGAACAAGCCAAUUGUGGAUGGUGGAUGAACAUUCCUGGCAUUUGCAGCAGAGAGAUAAAAAGAAUAAAAUAAAUAGUGCAUGAGAAAUGAAAUUUAAGAAGAAAAGUAAUAUUUCAAUAGACCAAGAAGGAAUACGCAGAGAUGAGAGGUGUCUAAGAUCAUGGAGACACUUAAACAUAAAUAAAAGAAAUUUAAUUUUGUAAAGAAGAGAGAGACAAUGCAAGCAAAGGAGAAAGAAGGUCCAAAUGAGAAAAAGAAGUAGUAACCUGAAGAACUCAAGAUAGGCAUUAAUGGCUGCACCAAAGAAAUUGGGAAACCAAAUAAAACCCCAGUAAUCAUAAAUAUACUAAAUACAUUUUUAGGGAUUCAACAUAGUUGUAAUAUUGUUAAGGAAGUAUUGUUUCAUUUUUACUAUUAUUAUGCAGUGCAGUCAGUAUACAUAGCAGUUUAAAGAGUAACAACAAGAAAGGAUCCUGGUUCAGGGACUUACAACGUAAAAUUAAACAGUAGGAGCAACAGGAUAAAUAGUGAAGUCAAGAAAGAACAGAAACGAUAAAAGUGAAUGAGUGAAGAGAUUACUAAAGCAAGGCAUGACCUACAAGAUCAAAUCCACAAGAUCCAGGAAUAAGAAAGGGGGGGGUAGUGUAAGAUGCUGUGGAUUUACAUGCAGGACAGUUACUGUAAAAUGAGGACAGAAAGCAAACUAAAAAAUGAUCAAAAGUUAGAAUUUACAUUACUGUAGAAUGAACAACCUCAGGCAGCUUUGAAAGGAAUUUAAGAGAAAUAGAAAGAUGGGAUCCAAACACUAUUUCUUAAAAGAGAAGAAAUGAUAGCUGCUUAAGGACCAAUCUAAAAGAUUAAAAAGAUGGUUUAAGAGGAAUAAACAUGAGGAGAUAUAUUUAUUUUAUGUAUUUAUAGGCUGCCUUUCAAAAUUGCCUCUUGAGGCGUCCCAACAUGUUAAAAACAAUCUAUGAUGUUGAGUAAGAAACCAAGGCCGGAGAGGGUGAAGAGGAUGGGUUGUGAAUUCAGGAGAACUGAGAACACAAAGUAGGUUGAAA
Long non-coding RNA from Lacerta agilis (Sand lizard), 1635 nucleotides. RefSeq lists it as uncharacterized. Lineage: Eukaryota; Metazoa; Chordata; Lepidosauria; Squamata; Lacertidae. The record is from RefSeq and is a predicted model, not a curated record. The transcript has 2 exons.